CAAACUGAAGAUGGCGACCGGCGCACGGGUGAGUAACACGUAUCCAACCUGCCGAUAACUCCGGAAUAGCCUUUCGAAAGAAAGAUUAAUACCGGAUAGUAUACGAAUAUCGCAUGAUAUUUUUAUUAAAGAAUUUCGGUUAUCGAUGGGGAUGCGUUCCAUUAGUUUGUUGGCGGGGUAACGGCCCACCAAGACUACGAUGGAUAGGGGUUCUGAGAGGAAGGUCCCCCACAUUGGAACUGAGACACGGCCCAA
This 255-nucleotide ribosomal RNA is filed under the name uncultured bacterium. Its description in RNAcentral is "partial 16S ribosomal RNA". It matches the Rfam family "Bacterial small subunit ribosomal RNA", at positions 77 to 334 of the family's 1533-position model. The record is from RNAcentral.